UUACUUUCGUAACAUAAUGCCAUCACUCUGUAACACUUGCACUUCUUUUGGCUAGCGCUCCAACACAUUGUACUUUUGUACUGAUAAGC
Notothenia coriiceps (black rockcod) is the source of this 89-nucleotide long non-coding RNA. RefSeq lists it as uncharacterized. NCBI's taxonomy places the organism in Eukaryota, Metazoa, Chordata, Actinopteri, Perciformes, Nototheniidae. The record is from RefSeq and is a predicted model, not a curated record. The transcript is spliced from 3 exons.